This 254-nucleotide ribosomal RNA is filed under the name uncultured bacterium. Its description in RNAcentral is "partial 16S ribosomal RNA". It matches the Rfam family "Bacterial small subunit ribosomal RNA", at positions 524 to 776 of the family's 1533-position model. The record is from RNAcentral.
GACGAGCCACACGAACGUUAUUCGGAAUUACUGGGCGUAAAGAGCGCGCAGGCGGUCGUUCAAGUCGCGUGUGAAAGCCCCCCGGCUCAACUGGGGAGGGUCACGCGAUACUGAUCGACUCGAAGGCAGGAGAGGGAAGUGGAAUUCCCGGUGUAGUGGUGAAAUGCGUAGAUAUCGGGAGGAACACCAGUGGCGAAGGCGACUUCCUGGCCUGUUCUUGACGCUGAGGCGCGAAAGCUAGGGGAGCAAACGGG